Molecule: ribosomal RNA, 863 nt
Filed under: Stagonosporopsis sp.
Lineage: Eukaryota; Fungi; Ascomycota; Dothideomycetes; Pleosporales; Didymellaceae
Description: partial large subunit ribosomal RNA
Rfam family: Eukaryotic large subunit ribosomal RNA
Source: RNAcentral
ACAGGGAUUGCCCUAGUAACGGCGAGUGAAGCGGCAACAGCUCAAAUUUGAAAUCUGGCGUCUUCGGCGUCCGAGUUGUAAUUUGCAGAGGGCGCUUUGGCAUUGGCAGCGGUCCAAGUUCCUUGGAACAGGACGUCACAGAGGGUGAGAAUCCCGUACGUGGUCGCUAGCCUUUACCGUGUAAAGCCCCUUCGACGAGUCGAGUUGUUUGGGAAUGCAGCUCUAAAUGGGAGGUAAAUUUCUUCUAAAGCUAAAUACUGGCCAGAGACCGAUAGCGCACAAGUAGAGUGAUCGAAAGAUGAAAAGCACUUUGGAAAGAGAGUUAAAAAGCACGUGAAAUUGUUGAAAGGGAAGCGCUUGCAGCCAGACUUGCCUGUAGUUGCUCAUCCGGGUUUUUACCCGGUGCACUCUUCUAUAGGCAGGCCAGCAUCAGUUUGGGCGGUUGGAUAAAGGUCUCUGUCAUGUACCUCCUUUCGGGGAGAACUUAUAGGGGAGACGACAUGCAACCAGCCUGGACUGAGGUCCGCGCAUCUGCUAGGAUGCUGGCGUAAUGGCUGUAAGCGGCCCGUCUUGAAACACGGACCAAGGAGUCUAACAUCUAUGCGAGUGUUUGGGUGUCAAGCCCGAACGCGUAAUGAAAGUGAACGGAGGUGGGAACCUUUCGGGGUGCACCAUCGACCGAUCCUGAUGUCUUCGGAUGGAUUUGAGUAAGAGCAUAGCUGUUGGGACCCGAAAGAUGGUGAACUAUGCUUGAAUAGGGUGAAGCCAGAGGAAACUCUGGUGGAGGCUCGCAGCGGUUCUGACGUGCAAAUCGAUCGUCAAAUUUGGGCAUAGGGGCGAAAGACUAAUCGAUCCAUUCAUGU